This 814-nucleotide ribosomal RNA is filed under the name Bacillus siamensis. Its description in RNAcentral is "bacterial SSU rRNA". It matches the Rfam family "Bacterial small subunit ribosomal RNA", at positions 73 to 865 of the family's 1533-position model. The record is from RNAcentral. Lineage: Bacteria; Bacillati; Bacillota; Bacilli; Caryophanales; Bacillaceae.
ACACCUCCUUAGUUGUUCCCUGAUGUUAGCGGCGGACGGGUGAGUAACACGUGGGUAACCUGCCUGUAAGACUGGGAUAACUCCGGGAAACCGGGGCUAAUACCGGAUGGUUGUUUGAACCGCAUGGUUCAGACAUAAAAGGUGGCUUCGGCUACCACUUACAGAUGGACCCGCGGCGCAUUAGCUAGUUGGUGAGGUAACGGCUCACCAAGGCGACGAUGCGUAGCCGACCUGAGAGGGUGAUCGGCCACACUGGGACUGAGACACGGCCCAGACUCCUACGGGAGGCAGCAGUAGGGAAUCUUCCGCAAUGGACGAAAGUCUGACGGAGCAACGCCGCGUGAGUGAUGAAGGUUUUCGGAUCGUAAAGCUCUGUUGUUAGGGAAGAACAAGUGCCGUUCAAAUAGGGCGGCACCUUGACGGUACCUAACCAGAAAGCCACGGCUAACUACGUGCCAGCAGCCGCGGUAAUACGUAGGUGGCAAGCGUUGUCCGGAAUUAUUGGGCGUAAAGGGCUCGCAGGCGGUUUCUUAAGUCUGAUGUGAAAGCCCCCGGCUCAACCGGGGAGGGUCAUUGGAAACUGGGGAACUUGAGUGCAGAAGAGGAGAGUGGAAUUCCACGUGUAGCGGUGAAAUGCGUAGAGAUGUGGAGGAACACCAGUGGCGAAGGCGACUCUCUGGUCUGUAACUGACGCUGAGGAGCGAAAGCGUGGGGAGCGAACAGGAUUAGAUACCCUGGUAGUCCACGCCGUAAACGAUGAGUGCUAAGUGUUAGGGGGUUUCCGCCCCUUAGUGCUGCAGCUAACGCAUUAAGC